UGCUCAACUCACGUGUUGUCA
Molecule: non-coding RNA, 21 nt
Filed under: Caenorhabditis elegans
Lineage: Eukaryota; Metazoa; Nematoda; Chromadorea; Rhabditida; Rhabditidae
Source: RNAcentral